CGCUUAUCGGCUACCGUAGAGCGUGCUCGNGCNCAUGAAGGUNCUUGNGCCUNGAUUCACGGCGGACGGGGGANUAAUGCCUNNGAAUCUGCCUGGUAGUGGGGGACAACGUUUCNAAAGGAACGCUAAUACCGCNUACGUCCUACGGGAGAAAGCNGGGGACCUUCGGGCCUUGCGCUAUCAGAUGAGCCUAGGUCGGAUUAGCUUGUUGGUGAGGUAAUGGCUCACCAAGGCGACGAUCCGUAACUGGUCUGAGAGGAUGAUCAGUCACACUGGAACUGAGACACGGUCCAGACUCCUACGGGAGGCAGCAGUGGGGAAUAUUGGACAAUGGGCGAAAGCCUGAUCCAGCCAUGCCGCGUGUGUGAAGAAGGUCUUCGGAUUGUAAAGCACUUUAAGUUGGGAGGAAGGGUUGUAGAUUAAUACUCUGCAAUUUUGACGUUACCGACAGAAUAAGCACCGGCUAACUCUGUGCCAGCAGCCGCGGUAAUACAGAGGGUGCAAGCGUUAAUCGNAAUUACUGGGCGUAAAGCGCGCGUAGGUGGUUUGUUAAGUUGGAUGUGAAAGCCCCGGGCUCAACCUGGGAACUGCAUCCAAAACUGGCAAAGCNAGAGUACGGUAGAGGGUGGUGGAAUUUCNUGUGUAGCGGUGAAAUGCGUAGAUAUAGGAAGGAACACNNGUGGCGAAGGCGACCACCUGGACUGNUACUGNA
This 712-nucleotide ribosomal RNA is filed under the name Pseudomonas fulva. RNAcentral describes it as "partial 16S ribosomal RNA". It matches the Rfam family "Bacterial small subunit ribosomal RNA", at positions 34 to 744 of the family's 1533-position model. Lineage: Bacteria; Pseudomonadati; Pseudomonadota; Gammaproteobacteria; Pseudomonadales; Pseudomonadaceae. The record is from RNAcentral.